RNAcentral lists this ribosomal RNA (373 nucleotides) under uncultured bacterium. RNAcentral's name for it is "bacterial SSU rRNA". It matches the Rfam family "Bacterial small subunit ribosomal RNA", at positions 525 to 896 of the family's 1533-position model. The record is from RNAcentral.
ACGAACCGUACAAACGUUACUCGGAAUUACUGGGCUUAAAGGGUGCGUAGGCUGCGCGGAAAGUUGGAUGUGAAAGCCCUCAGCUCAACUGGGGAAUUGCAUUCAAAACUACCGUGCUCGAGGGAGACAGAGGUAAGCGGAACUCAAGGUGGAGCGGUGAAAUGCGUUGAUAUCUUGAGGAACACCGGUGGCGAAAGCGGCUUACUGGGUCUCUUCUGACGCUGAGGCACGAAAGCUAAGGUAGCAAACGGGAUUAGAUACCCCGGUAGUCUUAGCUGUAAACGAUGAGCACUUGAUUGAAGGGUCCUCCAUAGCCUUUCAGUCGUAGCGAAAGUGUUAAGUGCUCCGCCUGGGGAGUAUGGUCGCAAGGCUG